This 29-nucleotide non-coding RNA is filed under the name Macaca fascicularis (crab-eating macaque). The record is from RNAcentral. RNAcentral also lists the same sequence under 1 other name. Lineage: Eukaryota; Metazoa; Chordata; Mammalia; Primates; Cercopithecidae.
UGAUGACUUAUGAUGGUCUGUUUCCUCCC